UAAGCAAGUUUUACUGGUUCCACAAUAUUGUGAGUAAACUUCACCAAUAAAACUACAAGUAACACAUUGAAUCAAACAUGCAAAUUGAAAUCGAUCUAAAAAGUAAAUAGCAUUUUCUUGUAACUCAUACCCCAAUAAUCAUAGUUUUAUUUACAACUUUGUUUUUGUUUGUUAUUUUUGAUUACUUUUAUAGUGUAUACAUGUUUCCCACUUUUUUCUUUGAAAUCGAAACACACACACGCACACACACACACACACACACACACACACACACACACACACACACACACACACACACACAUUGUGUUUCCAUGUUUUAUGGGGUCAUUCCAUAGGCAUAAUGGUUUUUAUACUGUACAAACUGUAUUUUAUUUCACCCUACACCUAAACCUAUCACUCACAGAAAACUUUCUGAAAUUUACUGGUAUUACUAUCCUUGUGGGGACAUUUGUGCCUCUAUAAUGUGAUAAAUACCAGGUACACACACACACACACACACACACACACACACACACACACACACACACACACACACACACACACACAUAUGCAAGUCAUGCAAGUAUGGAACUACUUGAGGCUGACGAAUGAUGGCACACAUUCCCUCAUCAAUAUGUGAAGAUACAGAGACUGAACAUAAAUAUGACAGUUUCAUUGUGAGAACAUGUUGAGAGCUUGUGUCCUUCAUUGCAUUCAAGGACACGCGUGCCAAGUGCGGCUCGUGUUAUUAAAUUAAAUAUUAAAUAUUAAAACCACAGGCCCUCAGGCUAUGACUGGCACCUAUAUCAUGUUUAGGAAGAGCGACAGGUUCUUUGUCUAACGGAAGCACACAGGUGAUUUUUUCAGUACUUCUGACAUCCUCUUUCUAUCUCUGGAACCUUCUCCAGCGUGGAAAGAACAUGCUUUCUAACAAAGCACACAGACCUCUGAAUAACUGCUUUGUUAGUUUAGUGCUUUCAUUUCUGCAUGUCCGAGCAUCUGUAAUCUGUUGUAGUGGUUUAUGUUCUGGCGCUGAAUUAUCCAGAUGCAUGCACAA
This is a long non-coding RNA of Cyprinus carpio carpio, 1036 nucleotides long. NCBI's taxonomy places the organism in Eukaryota, Metazoa, Chordata, Actinopteri, Cypriniformes, Cyprinidae. The record is from Ensembl.